This 24795-nucleotide long non-coding RNA is filed under the name Olea europaea (common olive). RNAcentral's name for it is "long non-coding RNA (OEUR_LNC008204)". Lineage: Eukaryota; Viridiplantae; Streptophyta; Magnoliopsida; Lamiales; Oleaceae. The record is from RNAcentral.
ACAUGUCAAUAUAACAUUGAAUCCAAAAUAUUUCAUCAAAACACAAAUAAAAAUGAUCCACCCAAUAUAAUUACAUCUAAACUUAAAAAAUAGUAUAGCAAAUGUGCUCUGUAUCUAUUAUUAUGUACCUAAAAAAUACAUCUUUCCAUCCUCGUGAAUUAGAUGUGAAGCUGAUCUUCACCAAAUUUGUGCUCCAUAUCAAAUAGUGCACGAGACAUUCAACCUGAGGCAAGGAAACCAAUGGACCAGCACAAUCAUGCCAUAGCUGAGAAUUUAUUGUCUUCCUUGUCGUCUAGCAAAUCAAGUUAAAAAAAAAGAAUGUAUUCAGAGAUCAACAAAAUUAUGAAUCAGGAACCAAAUAUAUAACUAACCAACAAAAAGGACAAGAGAAACACUACAUCAAUAUUAACUUAAAUCACAAACUCCAGCAACUCUUUGAAUUCAAAUCAUAAUUAACUAAAAUUAAUUCUCCCUGCUCAACAAUAGCAAAUGGAAGACAAGGAAUGAUACGACCAGUCCCGAAUCACCCUAGUGGACCUGAAACGUGACGUGCGCCGAUGAUAGAUGCUAACUAGAUGUCAAAUCUAUCACCAAGGCUAGCUAAGAGUUAUUUCAAAAAAAGGCAAUAAAAUCAAAUGCUUAUGUAAAACAUAAUUCGAUGGGCCAAAAUAUUUACUUCGUGCUUCAUCAAUAUGAGUUAUAAUAUUCAACAUGUCGUGUGACUCUUAUUCCGAAAUCAUUAGGCUCUUCCAACUAAAAAGGAUCAAUUUCCACCUAUAGGAAAAAUCGUGGGAAAAUACAUGAAUUGAUAACUCAGUGAGUGGAGAAGUUCGAAAAUAAUUAUACUUUUUCAUUUUUACAUUUUUAUCAAAAAUUGAGUUUAUAUCAUUGAUAACUCGCAAGAUAACAUAUAAUUAUAGCAAAAAAAGUGAAAUAUUUACAUAAGGUCAUAAGAUGUCAUCUUAAAAUCAUGAUAUAAACAUCAUCUGACAAGCACGCUAUAAUCUCAUCGCAUCAAACGUGCUGAAAAAUCCAUAAAAAAAUGUACUCUCUGACUGAAAUAUAUAAUUCGCCCCUCGGACUAAGAACUUUUGCCACAGGCCUUUGGCCCCUCUGUGAACGAAAAUCGGUCUCAAAGACCUCUCAUAAUCAAUUCUAGAAUACGGUCAAGGCCCCUCAGUGAACUAGAAGAAAUAUAGCGUUACGGGUACUUUUCUGGUCGAUCUCAAAAUCAUACCUCAUAUUCCAAUUCACAAUGUACUGUAUACAAUCUUUAAAAUUCACAUGUAUCAUAAUAAAAGAUAUUCCCAUAAUAACCAUAUAAUUCGAACACAUAAUUGCAUAUAAUUUCACAUAUUUUAACAAUAUAUUUAAUUUAUAAAUAUUUUAAAAAUAUUUAUAUUUUUCCACUCACAGUACUAUGUUUGCAAAAUCAACCCGAUUGGUAAGCUGUUCUGAUAUCAGUAUCGUCGCCUGGAAUACGAUAUAAUUUUUAAAUAAACAAUUAAUCAUUUUAAAUAAUUUCAAUAAUUAAAUAGGCGAUACCCAAACUUAAUCAUUUCAUGUUUGGGCGAUUUCUAUAGUUUCUUUAAUUACUAAAGCUAGUUUAUCUUUCAUCUUACUCAAUUUCAUAGUUUAUUACACUUAACCUCUUCAAUAAAAUUGAAUUUAAUCUAACAAUUUAACAACUAUAAAAUCAAACAUAACUUGAUAAUAAGUAACUUUUAUUUACCUUUCAAAAUUGAGGAAUUCAAGCCUAAUAAUGUAGACCACUUAUUUUCUAACAACAUAGGCGAACUUUCCUUUUUUUUUUUUCUUCCUCUUCUCCUUUUUUUUCUUUCUUUCUUUCUUUCUCUCCUCUUCCUUUUCUCUUUCUAAUGCGAAUCCCGUAGCAACGUUGACUACGAAACCCACAACGAGAUUGACGAAUCCAAGAAAGCCAAAUUAAUCCAAAGUUUAGGAUUAACCCAAAAGAAAGUCGAACAAAAAAACCCAACAAGAACAACGUUUGAAAGACCCUUCGAUCACGCAAUCCAAGAAUUAAAUCCGAUUGUUUGAACGCCACAAGUUAACACUUGAUAAGUUCGAAGUUGUUCAAUGAAGAACGAUGAAGAGAAGACAAUAUACCUCACUUUAAUUCAAUAUCAAUAAUGCCAAAAGGUUUUUAACAAUUGAAUGGAAACUUCUAUUUAUACUAAACCUAAAAACUAGGUAAAAAUUGUGCAAAAGUCAAGCAUAAUCUCCAAAAUAUGGAAAAGAAUCAAAAUCUAACAAAAUAUGGAAAAUUGCGAAAAUUGGAAGAUUCGCCAAAUUUUUUAGCUUGUGCGGCCGCAUGGUGUAUUUCCAUGCGAUCGUAUGGUUCAACAAAAAAUCCCAAUUUAAGUUUCGGUAUGCCACUGUGUGGCCGCAUGGUGUUUUUACUGUGCGGUCGGACAGGCUUAUUUUCAACCUUCGGUUUCAUCGCUUGAUAACAAAUUGAUCCAAGUUGAUUCGGCCUUCGACCCGAACAUGAAAGUUGCUCCAUUUUGAGUCCCGAACAUGGUUCCAUCAAUGGUUUCUUGAACGAGCAAUCCUAUCGCUUUUUUUACUUGCUUUGCCCUUGAUCGCGUCAUUGGUCCGCCAUCGACUAUCAACGGGUCUCGUCUCGCACUUGCCUUCGUCGGGCUCAACUCCUGGAUCAUAUCAUCCCCUCCCUCUUCAAAAGAAUUCUUCCUCGAAUCUGAACCUGCAUCAAACAGAGAGAGAUCAGAUACAUUAAAACUAGCCGAAACAUUGUACUCACCUGGAAGGUCCAACUUGUAAGCAUUGUCGUUUAUUUUUUCGAUCACUUGGAAUGGACCAUCACCCUUCGGUUGCAACUUGGACUUCCUUUGCUCCGGAAAUCGCUCUUUUCUAAGGUGCACCCAAACCCAAUCUCUUGGCUCGAAUGUCACGCGCUUUCUACCUUUGUUCGCUUGCGACGCAACCAACUUACUUUUGUUUUCAAUUUGCGCUUUUACCUUUUCAUGGAGUGACUUAAUCAAUUCAGCCUUCUUUUUGUCAUCUAAACUACCACGUUCAUUCACAGGUAAAGGAAUUAAAUCCAAAGGAGUUAGUGGAUUAAACCCAUAUACAAUUUCAAAUGGAGAAUAUGACGUAGUAGAGUGAACAGCUCGAUUGUAUGCAAAUUCAACAAAUGGUAGACACUCCUCCCAACUCUUCAAAUUUUUAUUGAUUACUGUUCGUAACAAUUGUGUCAGAGUCCUAUUCACUACCUCGGUUUGCCCAUCCGUUUGUGGGUGACAAGUUAUGGAAAAUAGUAAUUUAGUGCCUAACUUACCCCACAAAACUCUCCAAAAGUGACUCAAAAAUUUGACAUCCCGAUCCGACACUAUGCUUCUAGGAACCCCAUGUAAACGCACAAUCUCUUUAAAGAAUAAGUCAGCAAUGUUCGUGGCAUCGUCAGUUUUGUGACAUGGUAUAAAAUGUGCCAUUUUGCUAAACCUAUCUACAACCACAAAAAUAGAAUCCCGACCUCUCUUAGUCCUAGGUAAAUCCAAAAUAAAGUCCAUUGAGAUACCAACCCAACGCUCACUAGGUGUAGGUAAAUGUGUGUACAAACCUUGUGGUAAAACCUUAGAUUUGGCCUUUUUACAACUUAUGCAUCGACUACAAAUUCGCUCAACAUCACUUUUCAUCUUAGGCCAAUAAAAAUGCUCCUUUAAUACAUCUAAAGUCUUUUGAACCCCAAAGUGUACCAUCAAUCCACCACUAUGUGCCUCCCUUACUAACAAUUUUCGAAUAAAACAAUUAGGAACACAUAACCUAUUUUCCCGAAAUAAAUACCCCUCAUGCCUAAAGAAUCUAUCAACCGUCCCCUUAAUGCAUGACAAAUAAAUAUCCGAAAAAUCAACAUCUUUUUCAUAUAAUUCCUUAAUAUGUUCAAACCCAAGUAACUUAGAAUAAAGAGUAGUUAGCAAUGCGUACCUUCGAGACAACGCAUCCGCCACCACAUUUUCCUUACCUUGUUUAUACCGAAUGACGUAUGAAAAGGUCUCAAUGAAUUCCAUCCACCUUGCAUGCCUCUUGUUCAAUUUACCUUGUCCCCGCAAGUGUUUUAAUGACUCAUGAUCGGUGUGUAUUAUGAACUCCUUCGGCCAUAGAUGAUGUUGCCAAGUCUCCAAAGCUCGAACAAGUGCAUAAAGCUCUUUGUCAUAUGUAGGAUAAUUUAAAGCAGCUCCACUCAAUUUCUCGCUAAAGUAUGCAAUAGGCCUCUGAUCCUGCAUUAAAACUACUCCAAUCCCUAUUCCUGAUGCAUCACACUCAAUCUCGAAUAUUUUAUCAAAGUUAGGUAAUGCCAAAACAGGUGCUUCACACAAUCUACCUUUAAUAGUAUUAAAUGCAAGUUCCUGUUCAUCACCUCAAUGAAAACCUACACUCUUUUUAACUACUUCCAUGAGUGGUGCAGUGAUAGUGCUAAAAUCCUUCACAAAUCACCUAUAAAAACUAGCCAAACCAUGAAAACUCCUAACUUUCGUUAUGCUUUUAGGUGUCAGCCAAUCUCUAAUAGCUUUUAUCUUUUCAUCGUCUACUUCUAGCCCAUUAGCACUAACCACAAAUCCAAGAAAUAUAACUCUAUCCAUACAAAAUGUGCAUUUCUUAAGAUUAGCAAAGAGUUGUUCUUUCCUUAAAACAAUUAGCACACAUUUUAAAUGUUCCAAAUGCUCUCCUAGGUUUUUGCUAUAGAUUAAAAUGCGUCAAAAUAAACCACAACAAAUUUUUCUAUAAAACCAUGUAAAACAUGAUUCAUUAAACGCAUAAAAGUGCUAGGUGCAUUUGUGAGUCCAAACGGCAUAACCAACCAUUCAUAUAAACCAUAUUUAGUUUUAAAAGCCGUUUUCCAUUCAUCACCCUCCCGCAUACGAAUUUGAUGAUACCUGCUUUUUAAAUCAAUUGUAGAAAAUAUGUAAGAACCAUGUAAUUCAUCAAGCAUGUCAUCUAACCUAGGUAUAGGGUGACGAUACUUUACCGUUAUGUUGUUGAUAGCCCUACAAUCCACGCACAUUCGCCAUGUUCCAUCCUUUUUUGGUACAGGCAAAACCGGUACCGCACAAGGACUCAUGCUUUCCCUCACGUAUCCUUUACUCAUCAACUCCUCCACUUGACUUUGAAACUCCUUAGUCUCCUUGGGAUUACUUCGAUAAGCCGGUCGAUUUGGAAUGACAGCUCCGGGUAUGAAGUCAAUUUGAUGUUCAAUGCUUCGAAUAGGUGGCAAUCCACUUGGUGCAUCCUUCGAAAAUACAUCGUCGAAUUCCUGCAACAAAGAUUUAGCCAAACUAGAGAGGGGUGGGUUAGUUUCCUCAAAAUUGAGGAGUGAUUCCUUAUAAACGAACAAGAUCAUCUCUCUUCUCUCAACUACCGCCCUCCUCAGAUCACUCUCUUUUGCAAAGAAAUUCACUCGUGUUUUCUCUCUUCUCUCGGGACACUCUCUUUCUUUUCUCUCUUGUGAUUGCUCUCUCUUUUUCUCUCUAAUGACUAUCUCAACAUUUUCUCUCUUUUUCUCCAACUCACUAUUUGCUCUCAUUUUUUCUAACUCUUUUGCUCUCCUCUCUUCCUCACUUCUCAAUUUUAAUUGGUCUUCAUAGACUUGCGCCGGUGUUAAUGGCACAAAAGUAAUGGUCCUUCCAUCCUUAAUGAAAUUAUAUCGAUUUUUGUACCCAUCAUGCAUAGCCUUCCUAUCGUAUUGCCAUGGUCGCCCCAAUAAAAUAUGUCCCGCUUGCAUUGGCACCACAUCACACACUAACUCAUCCUUAUAACUCCCAAUUGACAAAUUAAUUAACACUCUUCGAUUCACCCUCACCUCGCCACUCUCAUUUAACCAUUGCAAUUUAUAAGGUCUCGGGUGUCUCAACAAUGUUAAACCCAAUUUUUCUACAAGAGAUACGCUAGCUACAUUAGUGCAACUACCACCAUCAAUUAUAACACUACAUACCGUAUUGUUGACGUGGCAUUGAGUGUGGAAAAUGUUCUCCUGUUGCAACUCCAAGUCACUUGCUUUGACGUGAGUAGUGAGAGCUUGCCUUGUGACUAAUAGAUCCCCAACCGGCCCUUCAACUUUUUCUUCUUCACUAACACCCUCCAACGUCGGCAUGUCAUCAAACUCGCCAUCACUAUCGCUCACAAUCUCUCCAUUAUCCCGCAACACCAUCGCCCAUUUGUUUGGGCAUUGAGAAGCAAUAUGCCCCGUUCCCAAACACCUAAAACAUUUGAUGUCCUGAUUGCGCGACGGUUGUGCCUCCGGUUUUGAUAUUAGUUUGCUAGCAUUUUCAUCCUUGCCCUUUUGCCAAUCAUUUUUACCUCUAGGUGCAGCCCCAUUUUUGUUUGUUGUCAUCCCACUUCGAUUUCAAUUUUGGAUUAGGAGUCAAAGUGCCUAAUGGUUGCCUAGACGUCCCCUUCCUCUUUAAUUGCCUCUCGACCUUCAUUGCCACAUGUAACAUUUCCUCGAUUUCCACAUAAUGUUGCAACUCUACAAUGUUUGCAAUAUCCCGAUUUAACCCAUUCAAGAACCGUGUCAUGGUAGCUUCUCGAUCUUCCUCCACAUUAGCCCGAAUCAUAAGAAUUUUCAUCUUCUUGUGAUAAUCCUCUACGCUUUUCGAUCCUUGAUACAAACCUUGCAAUUUUUAAUGGAUUUCCCUAUAAUAGUGACUCGGAACAAACCUCCUCUUCAUCAACAUCUUCAACUUAUCCCAAGUGCUAACUGGCCUUUCCCGACCCCUACGCCGUGAUGUAAGUACUUGAUCCCACCAAGAUAUCACGUAAUCCACAAAUUCAUGCACCACCAAUUUUACCUUUUUCUCCUCCGAAUAAUUAUAGCACUCAAAAAUCAUCUCAACCUUCCUUUCUCACUCUAAAUAUGCUUCCAGAUCGCUUCUCCCCUUAAACUACGGAAUAGUCAUUUUAAUACUCCCCAAAUUUCCAUCUACUUCAUCUCCCUAGUUAUUCCUACCUCGUCUUUCCAUCCUAUCGCCCCUAUGCCUUGCUCGACCCAUAUCAAUGUCAUUUUCAUCAAAAUUAUCCUCAUCACUACGAUACUCAUCCCACCUUCCUCUCCUAGAUUCACGCCUACCCGACCCCCUAGCAUUAGACAUCUCCACUUGUCCCCGGCUAAAAUUAGCAAUUGUAGUACCCAUUUGUGUCAUCCAUUCCCCUUGCCUAUCCACCUUCUCUCUAACAUCACAAAGUACCCUUUCAAACCUCCUUAUCAUGUCCUCCGAUGGAUUGUUGUCAUUACCAUUUCGGCUUGAAUUAGAAUCUUCUCUUUUCGACAUCAUAUCACACAAUUUUCUUAUGCCUCACAAAGAUUUCACUCGGAAAACACUCACUAUGGCUUUUCCCUCUAUUAAACUCACCACUCGGCCUUUUACCACUCAAAGUCUCCCUCCAAGCACUUCAAAGAACCAAGUGAACUAAAUCAAUUGUUUUACCGGCAAUUCAAACAAAUCGAAUAUUAAUCAAAGACCAUGAGACUCAAAGGAUUUGAAUAAGUGGAAUAGAUGAAUGUUUUGACACGAAUAUGUGAAUAGACUCAAAAGAAGAAUGAAAGACUCGAACCCAAUUGAAUAUCCCAAAAAAUCAAACACAAUGUAGGAAUUGUUGUUGGUAGAAAAAAACAUAAAAUCAAACAAUGAUAUCAAUUUUUUUUUAUGUAUAUAUAUAUUUUGUUUUUGUGAACAAUACUUCGAGAUGAACAGUACCUCGAAUGUACAGUAACCUUUUCUUUUUUUUUUUUCAUUUUUGCACUUUUUAUUUUUACUCCUUGAUGAAAGAAGGUGAGUAAACUACCAAAACUCAACAAAACGACGAAAAGAAAACAAGAAUGAAGAAAAACUAAGAAAGAACAAUUAACGACCCAAACAAAUAAAGAAAAGAUAUAACCUUCAAUUGAUUUGGAGCUAGAGCUCUGAUACCAACUAAUGCGAACCCCGUAGAAACGUUGACUACGAAACCCACAACGAGAUUGACGAACCCAAGAAAGUCAAAUUAAUCCAAAGUUUAGGAUUAACCCAAAAGAAAGUCAAACCAAAAAAUCCAACAAAAACGAUGCUUGAAAGACCCCUUGAUCAUGCAAUCCAAGAAUUAAAUCCGGUUGUUUGAACGCCACAAGUUAACACUUGAUAAGUUCGAAAUUGUUCAAUAAAGAACGAUGAAGAGAAGAUAAUACGCCUCACUUUAAUUCAAUAUCAAUAAUGUCAAAAGGGUUUUAAUAAUUGAAUGGAAACUCCUAUUUAUACUAAACCUAAAAACUAGGUACAAAUCGUGCAAAAGUCGAGCAUAAUCUCCAAAAUAUGGAAAAGAAUCAAAAUCUAACAAAAUAUGAAAAAUUGCCAAAAUUGAAAAAUUCGCCAAAUUUUUUGGCUUGUGCGGCCGCAUGGUGUAUUUCCAUGUGGUCGCAUGAUUCAACAAAAAAUCCCAAUUUAAGUUUUGGUAUGCCACUGUGCGGCCACAUGGUGUUUUUGCUGUGCGGUCGCACAGGCUUAUUUUCAGCCUCCGAUUUCGUCGCUUGAUAACAAAUUGAUUCAAGUUGAUUCGGUUUUCGACCCGAACAUGAAAGUUGCUCCAUUUUGAGUCCCGAACAUGAUUCCAUCAAUGGUUUCUUGAACAAGCAAUCCCAUCGUUUGUUUCACUUGCUUUGCCCUUGAUCGCGUCAUUGGUCCGCCAUCGACUAUCAACGGAUCUCGUCUCGCACUUGCCUUCGUCGGGCUCGACUCCUGGAUCAUAUCAUCUCUCCAUUCUUGGCUUCUCUCACCUGUGUAUUAUGAAAAUGGGUUUGGAUUUAUAUGGAAUCCAAUUCCACCGCCUAACCUUUUAUAUAUAUAUUGUUAUUUUGUUAUUUUUUUGUCUUCUUCUUCUUCUUCUUCUUCUUCUUCUCUCUCUCUCUCUCUCUCUCUUAAAAGUAUGGCAUGAUAUGUUUGACUCUCUUUUGUAUAUAUACAUAUUUUAUUUUUAAGGUAUUACAAAACUCACCUCCUUCAAAGAAUUUCGUCCUCGAAAUUCAGUUGGCUAAGAUUUGCACAUAUAAAUAUGUAGAGAACACAUUUGAUUAUCACUUGCCAUAAUGCAUCUUCUAUUGAAUGAAAUCCCACGAACUUUUAGUCCCAAAAUUUAAUCUUUCCUAUCAUACUUUUAAUAACUUCCUACGAGCCAAUAUAUGAUAUUUUCAUCCUUAUUAUUAUUAUUUUUUCCCAAAACCUUAAGAAAACUCAAUUAUUUUCCCAAUUGGAAGUUCAAAAUACUACUUUUCAUGUUCUCCAAAUCUUCACCUUACGUCCUAAUUUAAACUAUUCUCUAAUCACAUUCUUUUUCUAUAACAAUGGUAACAUAUUAAGAUCGAACAACAAUCUUUCACCCAUUUCGUCGUACGUCCUUGGAAUAUCUCAAUAUUAUAUAUAACCUCAAUUAUCGUCACUUGUGUCUAGUUUUUAUAUGUCAAUUCCAUGAAAAUAAAUAAUUAUCCAAGUCUCCUUUAAUUAACCAACCAUAGUUGAUAGCCUCUCUUUUGAACUUGUCUUCAUAGUGUCUAACAUUCUAUCAAAAGAAGAUGCACAAUGUAAUUUUAUUAUAUAACUUCUUACAACUAACCAAAGAUAAAUACUUCAAUUCUACCGUGUAAUUAACAAUAUUGUCUAUAUAUAAUUUCAUAAGUCUAUCCUAUUAACUGACUAUAUCAGUCAAAAAUAAUCUCGUAACCUUAAUCAAUAUAUCCACAAUGAUUUAAAUACUAUUUUGCCUCCAUUCCGUGUAUUUGGAAUCCCCAAACAAAAAUAUUUGAGGGUAACUGCCUCCAUUCUAAAUUGACGAUAUCUCCAAAAAUUCAAUUGUUCACGAUUUUCUAAAAUUCUAGUUAUCCCCAAUAAAACAAUUGAGAAAGCUCAAUAUGAUAUUCUUUUCCUUAAAUUCUACAAUUUCCAUUUCCACCAUCUCUAAUAAAAUAUACGUUAAAACUCUAAUGAUUGAUAAUUAUUGAUAUUUCUCGCAAUGUGAUGACACAAUCCCAAUAAAACCAACUCCAAAUCAUGUUUUAAUUAUGCAUCUUCAACAAUCUAUCAUAUAAUUCAUAAUUUAUCAUUUUAUUUCAGAAUACUUUCGAAACUUAUCAUAAUCCAUUAUCAGAAAUCAUUAUCGUGAAUCAAUCACUCAUCAUCUUUAAAUAUAAGAGCAAAUAUUUCCUCAGAAUUUCCUAAUCGCAAAACUUUUGACAUUUCUAUACCCAUACAAAUUUUGUUCUUUCUUUCUAUAAAGAAACAAUAAUAACAUUUAAUCCAUGAAAAUCUAUACUCUUAUUCCAUAAAUGGAUCGUUGGUCUACCAUCAAUGCAUAAUCCUUCUUGUAUAUUGCAUAAAGACAUUUAAUUGGGGUAAUGUAACCUAAAGAUACUGUCCCACAAUUGAAUAAAAUUACAUUCAAUGAUCACCCUAAAUUUCAAACUAUUCGACAUAUCGUCCAUAUAUUCCAUCGCAAACAGAUCUCAAUAAACAUGGAAUACUUUAUACCUGAAGUCCAAAAUACAAUCGAAAAUCACCCAAAAAUUACAUCACUAAAAAUUUAUUAAAUUCAUUUUAACUUCAAAAUUUAACUCAACGCUUCCAAAUUUUAUGAAAUAUAACACAAUACUCCAACAAAUGGUCUAAAAAAAAUUAAUUAACUUAAUCACCCAAAUCUUUCAUCACAUUAUUUUGCUAUAGGGCAGUAUUUACAUUCAUUUACAUGCUAUUUACCAUGUCAUGUUGUAAUCAUGUAACAUCAUCACAUACUUAUGGCCAUACCAUAUGUCUUCCAACUUUUAGUUAUAUGAAUUUUUCCUUAAGAUCACAAAAUAAUAACCUUCAUAUUUAACAUGUGAACACAUCAAUAUAUCAUCAAGAUUUCACAUGUUAAUUUUCCAAACUCAAUAAAUUCAAGUUUUACCAUUCUCUAUUUUUUUUUCUUCCACAUAAACAUACCUAAAUGCAUAUAUUUAUUUAAUUCUAUUUUAGUGCAACAAAUCACCCCAUAAUAGGUAAUCAUUAUGAAGUUCAACCCUAUUAUUCUCACAUUCCAUGUAUUCAAACAACUCAUAAAUAAUCCAAAUAAUUGGAAUUACUAUUAAUUUUCUCGAUGCCUAAAGUACACAAUAACACAUUGUUAUCUAUCAAUCAACGAAUCAUCAUUUUGUCUUCCACAGUCUCUUAUCAUAUAGCAUAAAUUUACACCAUUAUGAUUUCUAUUAUCAUCCCAUAUAAGUGGUCACAAAUCACCACAAAAUUUUGAUAACACUAAUAACCAUUUGGCUCCAAAAUAAUUAAAAUUUCAUGCUGAUUGUAAAAUCUAUAACUUCGAAUGCCCAGGAAAAUCAUCAAAAUCUGUUCAAAUCUUACUAUGUUACAUACACACAUAGUUCCAACCCAACAACUAAUAACAUUUCCAACCAUAAUAUCAUUGCAACUACCAUACUUACAUAUUAGUCUUUCCUGGAUCUGUUAAAAAUCUUUAUACCAUUUUUGGUUCUACGCAUUUGAGCUAGAGAGCCUGUGAUUUUUGCCACCACGACGUGUGAUCAUAUCUACUAAACAUGCAUGAAUCAUAAAAAUUUUCGAAACUAUGCUCUGACACCAUUUUGACAUGACCCAUCUUGAAUCACCCUAGUGGACCCGAAAUGUGAUGUGCGUCGAUAAUAGAUGCUGACUAGAUGUCAAAUCUAUCACCAAGGCAAACUAAGAGUUAUUUAAAAAAAAUGGAAUAAAAUCAAAUGCUUAUGUAAAACAUAAUGCGAUGGGCCCAAAAUAUUUACUUGGUGCUUCAUCAAUAUGAGUUAUAAUGUUCAACAUGUCGUGUGGCUCUUAUUACGAAAUCAUUAGGCCUUUCCAGUUAAAAAGGAUCAAUUUCCACCUUUAGGAAAAAUCGUGGGAAAAUAUAUGAGUUGAUAGCUCAGUGAGUGGAGAAGUUCGAAAAUAAUUAUACUUUUCCAUUUUUACCAAAAAUCGAGUUAAUAUCAUUGAUAACUCGCAAGAUAAUAUCAUAUAAUUAUAGUAAGAAAGUGAAAUAUUCACAUAAGGUCAUAAGAUGUCAUCUUAAAAUCAUGAUAUAACAGAUAACCAUGCUAUAAUCUCAUCACAUCAAACGUGCUGAAAAAUCUAUCAAAAAUGUACACUCUGACUGAAAUAUAUAAUCCGCCAAUCGGAUUAAGAACUUUCGCCACGGGCCUUUGGCCCCAUCGUGAACGAAAGUCGGUUUCAAAGACCUCUUAUAAUCAAUUCUAGAACACGGUCAAAACCCCUCAAUGAACUAUAUGUAUACGGUCAAGACCUCUUCAUCCCCGGUCAAAGAUCCCUCAAUGUAGUAUAGAACACGGCCAAUAUCCCUCACUGAGCUAGAAGAAAUAUAUCAUCACAGAUACUUUUCUGGUUGAUCUCAAAAUCAUACCUCAUAUUCCAAUUCACAAUGUACCAUAUACAAUUUUUAAAAUCCACAUGUAUUAUAAUAAAAGAUAUUUCCAUAAUAACCAUAUAAUUCGAACACAUAAUUGCACAUACUUUAACAAUAUACUUAAUUUAUAAAUGCUUUAAAAAUAUUUAUAUUUUUACACUCACAGUACUAUGUUCGCAAAAUCAACCCGGUUGGUAAGCUAUUCUGAUAUCAGUAUCAUCGUCCGAAAUACGAUAUAACUUUUAAAUAAACAAUUAAUUAUUUUAAAUAAUUUCAAUAAUUAAAUAGGCGAUACCCAAACUUAAUCAUUUCACGUUUGAGCGAUUUCUACAUUCUCUUUAAUCACUAAAACUAGUUUUUCUUUCAUCUUACUCAAUUUCAUAGUUUAUUACACUUAACACCUUCAAUAAAAUUGAAUUUAAUCUAACAAUCUAACAACUAUAAAAUCAAAUAUAACUUAAUAAUAAGUAACUUUUAUUUACCUUUCAAAAUUGAGGAAUUCAAGCCUAAUAAUGUAGAGCACUUAUUUUCUAACAACAUAGGUGAACUUUCCCUUUUUUUUUUCUUCCUCUUUUCCAUUUUUCUUUCUUUCUUUCUUUUUCUCCUCUUCCUUUUCUCUUUCUCUCUAUUCUUGGCUUCUCUCACCUGUGUAUUCUGAAAAUGUGUUUGGAUUUGUUCAAUCCAAUUCCACUGCCUAACCAGUAGACAAAUUGAGAGAAUAAUUUAUUUUGUAGGGAUUAAAUUGCCUUUGCAUUAGAAUGGAAAAUGCAAUAUUAUGUCCACUUAUUGCAAUGUUUGAAAAGGACGUUAGCAUUUAUUUUUACAGCUCAUAUUAUACAUAUUGACAACCAAUUUUGAAGUUGUUGUUCGAUUUUUGCAUUUUGAAAUUCAUUUGAAGUAAAAUCAUUUGAUGCAGAUGCAGAUGAGUUAUCAACUUCUUCUUCAUUUUGAAAGACAUUUGAUCUAUUUUCAUUUUGAUUUUGUGAUCUAUUUCUAGACCUAGAUCUCCUAAGCCAAUUUGAAACCGAAGACAUAAUUGAAAAAAUGAAAUCAAAAUAAUUUCACAUAAUAAAAACAGUAAAAUAGGAUAAACUAGGUUCUUACCAAGCCUACAAACAGGACCACCAACACGGCUGACCAACGUCUACAGGGCUGACCAACGUCUAUUCAGCAGACAUCCAGGUUUAAACCAAACUUAUCUAUUUUGAACAGUGCCUAUCGUGUAAGAUUAAACUAAUCUCACUCGUUCACUUAUGGCUCUGAUACCAUAAAAGACCCAGGGAAACAGGAGAUGAAAUAGAAGAACAGAAAUUUGUGAAAAUAGAGAAUUUUAUUGAAAUUGAAGAAGAUAAGAGUAUUACGAUGAAAAUUGAAAAAUAUUUGAGAGAAGCAAAUUACAAGGAAAAUAAAACUUCUUCCUGCUGAAUUAGCUCUGCCUUGAAAAUGAAAUCUUGAGGUCUUCUUAUAGUCUGGACUUGAAAUUUCUUUCAUUUGAGAGAAAGAAUCUUGAAAAGAGAGGUGGGCGACACCAUAAUGAAACAUCUUGAAAAGCAGUAUCAACUUUAGUCAAAAGUUUCCAAUUUUUGACUUCCUUUAAUAAAGAUAAUCUUUUUCUUUAUUAAAGUAAGAGUUGAUGUCUGACACAAAGUUGAUGGGAAUCUUGACAAUCAAAACACCACCGUUUUUGAAUUGGACAGAGAUUAAGUAAGAUUUCCCUUGAUUUGUAGACCCUUGAAUUUCUCAGUUCGUCCAGGAAACUGGGUCCAUUUAGUCAUUUUAUAGUUUUCUUUGAAGCUUUUGCAGCUUUCUCUUGAGCAAGGUACUCAGCAUAGUCAUUACCUAGAUCAACUAAGUCAUUACCAUUAUCAGUCUUUUGCGAAAAUUGAGAUUCUUCGUCUUGAUCUUCUUCGAAAACUUUUGAAGAUCCUUGCUUAGAAAUUUGUUCAUAAAGUUCUAGUAAUUCUUUAGGAUCUUUACACUUUGAUAGCAUUGAAAUGAUUUUUUGUUUUUCUGUCAAAAAAUCAGCUUGUUCAUCUUGUUCCUUUUUUGAGAAUUUAGGUACACCUAAAUUUCUUUGUUCUUGAAUCCAUGAUUGAACUGAUUUUGGACAACAGUUUGUUUCUUUGAACUUUGCCCACCAUUUGAUUUUGAACCUUCUUGUAAUUUGUUGACAAGAGUAGUCAUCCUUGAAAUUUUGAUAUUGAAAGAAAUCCCAACAAAAGAUCCAGGAUACUUUCAAAUUGAAGGCGAACUGAAACAAAAGGUUUUCUUGAAGCUUCAGAAAAGGUUUUGCUUCUUUUUAAAAUAUUCAUAUUCUUGAAGAGCAAGACUGGGUAAAAUUGCCUCUUCAAAUCCAUGAUACUGAAACCAUGUUUGAAACCAACUCGGGAAAUGAGGGUUACAAUUUUGAUUAAAAAUAAUGAACCAAGAAUGGAUAACAGGUCUAAAAAGAAGGACCUUAUAACAAGCAUUCUGAUAAUCAAAGUAAUUGAAAGUUUCUUAACAAGUAAAAUCAGUUUUUGAGAGACGAAGUCUCUUUUCUUCCCAAGGAUUCUGUCCCCAGUCUUUAUAAGACAGAACUCUUGUAAUUGAGAUUUUUGAAAACAUAAUUUUUAAUUUGUCUCUUGGUUCAGGAGUAUGAGAAAUUAUUGCAGAACCAGUCAAAAGAAGAAUGGUUUCAUAAUAAUCUCUGGUUUUUUUGGAUAUUUGAGGGCAUGAACCAAAAGUUUUGAGGGAGGAUACUAUCAAUGCAAUCAUCAAGACCUUGAUAUCUAUUGAGCUAAGAAUUUUCCAUUGUAAGAACAGUAUCUUGAAUAUUCUUGGUAAAAUAUUUGAAAGAAUUUGGAGGGUUAAUUUGAGGAAGUUUGCCAGAACUUUGAACGGUUUUUUUGAAGUUUGAAGGAGUUGAAGACUCAGCCUUUUGCUUGAGUUUAUUUUGAUCGGGUUUUUUGAUAAAGGUUGAAAGGGUGUUUGAGAAAGAUGAAGCUUCCUUUUGAUCCUUUGGGGGAUCUUCGAAGAAAGGUAUUGAACUUUUCUUCUUUCUUGAAGUUUUUAUUUGAAAGGGAUUUUGAGAAUCCUCUUCUUCUUCGACUUUCUUAGCCCAACUCAUUCUCACUCUUUUGAAUAAACUCUCUUGUAAGGAAAUUUGCCAAGAAGUCUGUUUUUCCUUGAAUAUAUAGAAUUUCGAAAUCAAAACAGGACAAAAUUGCCUGCCACCUUGCAAAGAUUUGUUUGGAAACGAGAUUUUUUACAUUCUUUUGUAAGACAUCUUUUGAAGCUUUGCAAUCGGUUUUUAAAAUAAAUUUUUUAUUAAUUAAAUCAUCUUGAAAUUUUGAGAUACAAAGAACUAUUGAAAGAAUCUCUUUUUUGAUAGUAGAAUAAUUCUUUUGAGGACCAGACCAAACUCCACUAUGAAAUCUAACUAACUAUUCUUUUGACGAUUCUAGGGGUAAUUGCUUUAACACACCACCGAAUCCUAUGUUUGAGGCGUCUGUCUCGACAAUAAUUGAGGCUGUAGGGUCAAGAAUUGACAGACAAGGAAUAUUUUUUACUAACUUUUUCACCUUUUGAACCGCAUGCGUACACUCAUGACUCCAUGGGUCAGGGUUGUUUUGUCGUCUUUUGAAUAAUGGGGCACAAAUUUGACGUAUAUCUUUGAUAAAAUCGGCCACAUAAUUAACACAACCAAGAAAGCGUUGCAAACUUGUCUUAUCUUUGAUUUCAUCUGAAAAUUUGUCGGUGAAAUCAAGACUUCUUUGAAUAGGUAAAAUUGAAGAAUUUUGAAUAAUAUGGCCAAGAAAACGAAUUUUUGUUUGAAAUAAAACAAUCUUUUUAGCAGAAACUGCUAAACCAUUUUUCUUGAUUACAUGUAUGAAUGUAUGAAUGUGCUUAAAAUGUUGUUCAAUGUUUUUUUGAAAAGAUGAGGACAUCAUCAAUGUAAACAAUAAUGAAAUCUUGAAAUGGAUUGAAAAUAUCAUUCAUAAUUUUUUGAAAUUCAGAAGGGACGUUUUUGAGACCGAAAGGCAUAACAUUCCAUUCGUAUUGUCCGAAAGGAACAUUAAAUGCAGUCUUGUAUCUAUCUUCUUCUUUAAUUUGAACUUGCCAAAAUCCUGAUUUCAUGUCAAAUUUUGAGAAGAUGAUAGCUUUUGAAAGAUGAUUCAGAAGAUCUUUCUUCUGAGGAAUUGGAUAUCUAAUUCAUUGAAGAGCAGUAUUGAGAGGUUUAUAAUUGAUAACCAGGCGAGGAACUCCUCGCUCGAUUUCUGCAGAGUUAUUAACAUAAAAUGCCGAACAAUUCCAAGGGGAUUUGCUUGGACGGAUAAGGUUUUUCUCAAGGAGAUCAUUAAUUUCCUUGAUACAGAAAUCAAGUAAUUCUUUUUUCAUUUGAAUAGGACGAGACUUUGCAGGAAUGUUUGAUUCAUGAAAAUCAGAAUUGUAAGGAAGGGAAACAAUAUGUUUUUUCCUAUCCCAAAAAGCAUUUGGAAUUGUUGAACAGAUUUCUUGUUCAAUUUUCUUUUGUAAAUUUAAAAUUUGACUUUUGAUAGACGAAUCUUCUUCUAAUCUUUUCUCAGUUUUUUGAAAGGAAAUUUCUUCUUUGAGAAAUUGAACAUGAUUUUUCUUUAAAUUGAUGUUAUGAAUAAUUUUUGAAAUUGCAGCUUCUUUUAAAGAAUUAACAUCUUUAUAAGAAGGAGGAUUUGAAAAUUCGAAAUGAAUUUUUUUUUCAAAAAUUUUUGUAGUUAAUCCUUCGUAAUCAGCUUUAAAAGGAUAAAUUUGAACGAUAAAAGGAGUACCAAGAAUAACAUCUUGAUCCAGAUCUUUGACUAAGUAAAAGACAUUUUUGAAACAAAUGUUUGAGUUACAGACAUGGGCUUUUGAAAUUUUGUAAUUAAUAUUCAGUUUUUUACCAUUAGCACCAUAAAGGUGUUUAGUAGUUUUCUCAAAAUAUUUUGUAGGAAUAAGUCCUUCUUUGAUACAAUUUUGAUCGGCACCUGAAUCAAUCAAAACACGAGUUGAAAAUUUAAAUUCUUUAUUGACUACAAUAGUCAUAUUGCAGUACCAUUUCUGAAGUUGAAUUCGAUUAAUAACAUUAAUCUUUUCUUCUUCAGUUUGAGGAAAUUUUGAAGUAGAUGAAAAUUCAGACGAAGAUGAUUUAGAAUGAUAGGACUGAGUUUUUGAAGAAACUUUGGAUUUCCCAUUGUUUUGAGAAUAAUAUUCGUUGGUUAAGUCUUUUGCUUUAAGGCAGACUACUUCCAUACGAAUAUCUUAAACAUGUUUUUCAAGCUUUGAGAUUUGACUUUUCAUUUCCUUGACUUCUCCUUGAAGAUCAGGAAUUGAGGGUUUAGAACCUUUAGAUAGUUCCUUUUGAGCACGUCGAAGAAUAUUUGUAAUAUUGAUGUCAUCAAAAUUUUCUUUUGAUGUGGAAGAUGAAAGAAGGGAUGAAAACUUAUUUUUGAGUUUAGGAUUAUCAAUCCCAUCAAUGAUGUUUUGAAUGAUUUCUUCUUCUCCUGUUAAGACAUUUAUAAUUUUACAACCACAAAUUUCUUUAUUAUUUGAAGAAGUGCAAGAAUUAGAAUUUUGAGUAGAUUCGUAAUCAGAAUCUUCUUGAUUUGGAAAAACUUGUUCUAGUUCAGAGUUAGACUCAUUAUCAGAACUAGAUUGAAUUAGGUUGAGAAGUUGAGUUUUAGUAUCUUAAUCAACUUGAAGAGUACUAAUUUUUUCUCUAAGAGGACAUUUAUUGGAAUAAUGACCAGUUUUAUUGCAUUUCCAACAAGUAACUUUUGAAUCUUUUUUUUUGAAAAUUUUCUUUUUGGGAAUUGUUUUCUUUUUGUAAAAAUUUUCUUCAGAAAAUUGUUUUCUUUUUGAAAAUCUUUUCUUUUGAAAGAAUUUUUUCGAUUUUGAAGAAGGAGGUAAGACUUUCUCAAAUCCAUAUUGUUCACAGAAUGAUCCUAACUCAUUCCGAGUUUGAGAUUUUUCUGCUUUCAAUUUAGCUUUGAGUUUGAAGUCAAUACAUAGAUUGAUAGCUUCCUUAUUAAUGAAAUUUAUAAUUUCACCAUAAGUAAGCGUUUGAAGAUCAUCAUGUUCUUUAAAAAUUGAAUUUUUUACUUUCUCAGCAAAAAGUUUUGGAAGUCCAGAAAUGAAUUUUUCUUUCCAAAAAGAUUGUUGACAAUCAGAUCUUUGCAUGAUACGAGAUAGGAACAUAUCCUUGUACCAUCUAAAAUCUUGAAGUUUUGGACAUCUUAGAUUAAUAAGAAUGUCAUUUUGAAGUUGCAUAAGAUUUUCAGGAGUACCUAUAAAAUGUUUGAUGAUAGUUAGACCAAGAACAGAGUAACUAUCAUUAAUGGGUUCUCCAUUAUCAUUUGUAAUAAUACUAUUGUCUUCAUCACGUUUAACAGCAGAAAAGAUAAUAUUCUUUUCAGUAUUUGAAAGAUAAUUAUCCCACCAUUGACCAAGCUGUCCUGUGAAUCUGAGAACAAUAUUAUUUGUGGCUUGAAGCCUUGAGGCGCCUUUUGCCAAAAAGGUUUUAUAGCAAAUGGUCAUUUGUCCUAAAAGAUUGAUGAUUUGAUGUUCGGUAAGUCCGUCUAAGUUCCAUUCAACUUCGGAAGUACCGUCAUAUGACCUCUGAGAGGGUAACUUUUCUUCGAAAAGUUGAUUUGGGAAUGAAGGUCGAGGAUAAAAUUUUAGAAUAUUUUGAUAAUCGGAAUUUCGAAGUUUAUUGAUAUGAUUUGAUUUUUCAUCAAAAAAUUAAGAUUCAAUUUCAUCAAUAUCGAUUGUAUUGAUAUUCUUUGAAACAUGAAAAUUUUUUAAUUGAUUGACAAGUUCUGAAAGAACUUCAUUUUCAGUUGAAAGAGAUUGAGAAGAAUUUCCAAAAGUAGGAAUGAUAUCGUCAUUUUUGAAAAUGGGUGAAGAUGAUGAUGGUUUUGCGGAAUUCUUAUCUUUACUUUUACUGUCUCGAUAUUCUGUAAAAGAAUUCUUUUGAACAGUAGAAGUUUCAGAUUCAGAAUUUGAUUUGAUACGAUUAAGCUGAGAACAGACAGAUUGAAGAACAAUGUUUGUAAAAUUGUUCUGAGCUUGAAUAUUUUUGAUAUCCUUUGCAACAACCUGAGAUUCAUCAAGUCGUUCUUUAGGAUUUGCAAUUCGUUUACGUGGAGAAGCGAGAAUUUCUGUUUUACCAUGGGUAAAUGAAAUAUCUUGUAGAGGAGGAUGAAUUGAUUGGAAAGUAUUUCCAUCAGGAGUUUUCCAAGAUUUUGAAGAACCUUUUGUAGUAAAAAUUUGAGGUUUUUCUGGUUGUUUACCAAAGACUUUGAUUUGAAUCCAAUCAUAAAAACUUAAUUCUAUAGAGGAUUCAAAAUAAUCUUCCCAAAAUUGUUCUUUUUCUUUUGAAGAGAAUUGAUGUCUAAAAAUUUUUCGAAAUUUUUUAACAUGAAUGUCUUGAUCAUAUUUAAACUCUUUUCUUCUAUCAAUUUUAGAAGAAAUUACAUUACAUUGAUGAUCAAGAUCAGAGUUUGAAGGAGGAACCAUAUCAGAAAAAGUAGGGGAUUUUGGUCGAUCGGAAUCUUUUUCUUUUUCUUUAGGAUGAUAAAAAGGAUUUGGAAUGGUUGGAGUGAAAUCAACUCCUUUGAAAGAUGUUGAUGUAGAAUUUCUUGGAGAUUGGAAAGAAUUCUUAGUUCUUUCUUCAGAUCUAGUAGAUCUAGAAGAAUGAGAUCUUUGAAUUCUAGAUGAUGAUCCUUGAAAGAUGACUUUAGUUUUUCCAUCAGAGAAAGUUAAAAUCUCAUUUGGAGUAGAAUUUGUUUGAGCUGGAAUAGGAGCUUGAAUAUUUUCAAAGUUCCAUUCUAAACCUCAGAACUGAAGAUUCCAGGGAAUUCUUUUUGGAAUUUCAACACUUGAAUGAAAAGGAUUUACUUCAACCAAAAGACUUUCAUCUUUAGGAGAAGAUCUGAGAGCACCAAUAUUGAGUUGAGUAUUCAUAAGCUUAUAAUAUAUCCUGUAUAUUACAGCAAAAGCAUUUGAUCGACUAUCAAACUCAAGGUUUUUAGUCUGAAUAUGAAGAUUUAGAGCAUUAAGAACUACUCCAUCAGAGAGUUUUAUUGAGAAAUUUGGAUAACAAUUUGAGAAAAUUGGACCACUUUCGAGAUUUGAUUCGAGGAGUGAAAGUAGAGAGUUUUUGAAGUUGAGAUGUCUCUUAUCCCUAAGAGUAAUAAGGAUUGGAAUGUCAAGACCAAGUCUAAACAAUGGUUUGACAGCGAUUUGAACCAAACCAACAUGGAGGUAUUUAAAUCUCUUUUUAUAUUCUUUUGAAAAUAAAUUGAUAUAUGCAUUUGAACUGUUAAUUGAAAUAGUUUGUUCAAAAGUUUUGAUAACAUAAUUUUGAGUAAAAUCAAAUUUUCCUAUUUCGUAGAUAGAAUGUUUAUCUAUCUUUGGAAUAGUCCAAUUUUGAAGUUGUUGUUCGAUUUUUGCAAUUUGAAAUUCAUUUGAAGUAAAAUCAUUUGAUGCAGAUGCAGAUGAGUUAUCAACUUCUUCUUCAUUUUGAAAGACAUUUGAUCUAUUUUCAUUUUGAUUUUGUGAUCUAUUUCUAGACCUAGAUCUCCUAAGCCAAUUUGAAACCGAAGACAUAAUUGAAAAAAUGAAAUCAAAAUAAUUUCACACAAUAAAAACAGUAAAAUAGGAUAAACUAGGUUCUUACCAAGCCUACAAACGGGACCACCAACACGGCUGACCAACGUCUACAGGGCUGACCAACGUCUAUUCAGCAGACAUCUAGGUUUAAACCAAACUUAUCUAUUUUGAACAGUGCCUAUCGUGUAAGAUUAAACUAAUCUCACUUGUUCACUUAUGGCUCUGAUUCCAUAAAAGACCCAGGGAAACAGGAGAUGAAAUAGAAGAACAGAAAUUUGUGAAAAUAGAGAAUUUUAUUGAAAUUGAAGAAGAUAAGAGUAUUACGAUGAAAAUUGAAAAAUAUUUGAGAGAAGCAAAUUACAAGGAAAAUAAAACUUCUUCCUGCUGAAUUAACUCUGCCUUGAAAAUGAAAUCUUGAGGUCUUCUUAUAGUCUGGACUUGAAAUUUCUUUCAUUUGAGAGAAAGAAUCUUGAAAAGAGAGGUGGACGACACCAUAAUGAAACAUCUUGAAAAGCAGUAUCAACUUUAGUCAAAAGUUUCCAAUUUUUGACUUCCUUUAAUAAAGAUAAUCUUUUUCUUUAUUAAAGUAAGAGUUGAUGUCUGACACAAAGUUGAUGGGAAUCUUGACAAUCAAAACACCACCGUUUUUGAAUUGGACAGAGAUUGAGUAAGAUUUCCCUUGAUUUGUAGACCCUUGAAUUUCUCAGUUCGUCAAGGAGACUGGGUCCAUUUAGUCAUUUUAUAGUUUUCUUUGAAGCUUUUGCAGCUUUCUCUUGAGCAAGGUACUCAGCAUAGUCAUCACCUAAAUCAACUAAGUCAUUACCAUUAUCAGUCUCUUGCGAAAAUUGAGAUUCUUCGUCUUGAUCUUCUUCAGAAACUUUUGAAGAUCCUUGCUUAGAAAUUUGUUCGUAAAUUUCUAGUAAUUCUUUAGGAUCUUUACACUUUGAUAGCAUUGAAAUGAUUUUUUGUUUUUCUGUCAAAAAAUCAGCUUGUUCAUCUUGUUCCUUUUUUGAGAAUUUAGGUACAUCUAAAUUUUUUUGUUCUUGAAUUCAUGAUUGAACUGCUUUUGGACAGCAGUUUGUUUCUUUGAACUUUGCCCACCAUUUGAUUUUGAACCUUCUUAUAAUUUGUUGACAAGAGUAGUCAUCCUUGAAAUUUUGAUAUUGAAAGAAAUCCCAACAAAAGAUCCAGGAUACUUUCAAAUUGAAGGCGAACUGAAACAAAAGGUUUUUUUGAAGCUUCAGAAAAGGUUUUGCUUCUUUUUUAAAGUAUUCAUAUCCUUGAAGAGCAAGACUGGGUAAAAUUGCCUCUUCAAGUCCAUGAUAUUGAAACCAUGUUUGAAACCAACUCGGGAAAUUAGGGUUACAAUUUUGAUUAAAAAUAAUGAACCAAGAAUGGGUAACAGGUCUAAAAAGAAGGACCUUAUACCAAGCAUUCUGAUAAUCAAAGUAAUUGAAAGUUUCUUGACAAGUAAAAUCAGUUUUUGAGAGACGAAGUUUCUUUUCUUCCUAAGGAUCCUGUCCCAGUUUUCUUAAGACAGAACUCUUGUAAUUGAGAUUUUUGAAAACAUAAUUUUUGAUUUGUCUCUUGGUUCAGGAGUAUGAGAAAUUAUUGCAGAACCAGUCAAAAGAAGAAUGGUUUCAUAAUAAUCUCUGGUUUUUUUGGAUAUUUGAGGGCAUGAACCAAAAGUUUUGAGGGAGGAUACUAUCAAUGCAAUCAUCAAGACCUUGAUAUCUAUUGAGCCAAGAAUUUUCCAUUGUAAGAACAGUAUCUUGAAUAUUCUUGGUAAAAUAUUUGAAAGAAUUUGGAGGGUUAAUUUGAGGAAGUUUGCCAGAACUUUGAACGGNNNNNNNNNNNNNNNNNNNNNNNNNNNNNNNNNNNNNNNNNNNNNNNNNNNNNNNNNNNNNNNNNNNNNNNNNNNNNNNNNNNNNNNNNNNNNNNNNNNNNNNNNNNNNNNNNNNNNNNNNNNNNNNNNNNNNNNNNNNNNNNNNNNNNNNNNNNNNNNNNNNNNNNNNNNNNNNNNNNNNNNNNNNNNNNNNNNNNNNNNNNNNNNNNNNNNNNNNNNNNNNNNNNNNNNNNNNNNNNNNNNNNNNNNNNNNNNNNNNNNNNNNNNNNNNNNNNNNNNNNNNNNNNNNNNNNNNNNNNNNNNNNNNNNNNNNNNNNNNNNNNNNNNNNNNNNNNNAAAAAAAAAGAACAAUAACUAAAUAGCAUAAAAACAAACCCAGAUUGCUGAAAAUUUUGCAUCAAUGCCUUAAUGGAAUAACUAGAUGGUCAAUCUAACUAAAUUAAAUGAAAAGCCCGAUAUGAAUUUGUACAUAGAUCUAACACUUUAUAAAAUAAGACUCAAGUAGGUUAUAAUAAGGUAAUGCACGAGAUCGACGUGAGUGAUGCCUCAAGACUAAACUGAUUCCCAUAGUUCUUCAGCUUGACUUCUCGAAGUUUUAUUGAUUGCGUGAUCCUUAUUAACUAACUCAGGCAAGCCCAAUUAUUUGUGUAUUUGCAAUAUAGUUUUCGUUAAUAAUUUUGUUAUUACUCAUUCACAUGACAAAAAAUAAGCACUUUCGAAAAAGCAACAGUAGUUGGUUGACUCUGGCCUCCAAUUGUCUAGGAUCACGAGGUACAGAGUGAUCAUGGGCAGUGGCCUAACUGUAAAGGAGGAGGGCUUGUAUAGAGGGGUUAAGUUGCAACUAUAAAGCAAUUCUUUAGCUUUUUGUAUUCAAAUAUUGUCAAAUCAAUGGAAUUAUGGAAAGAUUCACACCCUUUAUUUAACAAGACAAAAUUGAUAAUUGAAUUUUCACUUUUCAAACUCAAUUUAUUAUCCUUAGCUAAGUGAAGUGCUGAGGCAAGAACAGUACUUGUCAGUCAAUUUUUGCAUAUAAUUUCCCUGAUUAAACAUUGCUUUAUGAAGAGUUUUGGUUAUAGUAUCUUUAUAAGUAAAAACUAACAGCAGGAUACGGGCUGAAUGGGAAUUAAGUCAAUUUCUUUAUUGCAGAGUUUUGAUUAAUAAAGCAGUAAGUAUGGCUUGGUAAAAACAUCUACAAGUUGAUUAGCUAAAGAAACAUAUUUGGUUACAACCGAACCAUCUUGUAUUUUGUCACGAAUAAAAUGGCAAUCAAUCUCUAUAUGUCUGGUUCUUUCAUGAAAAAGGGGAUUGGCCACUAUGUGCAAGGCUGCCUUAUUAUCGCAAUAUAAUAAUGCUGGCUUCUAAUGUAAUAUUCGCAAGUCUUUCAGCAAUGAACGUAGCCAGGAUAAUUCACAACGCGCACCUGUCAUGGCUCUAUAUUCGGCUUCAGCUAAGGACAGAGAUAUAGUUUUCUGUCUUUUUGUUCGCCAGGAAAUAAGAGAAGAUCCCAAAAAUAUACAAUAACUUGUGGUGGAUUUACAAGAAGUUGGGCAACCUGCCUAAUUCGAAUCACAGAAGGAUCGCAAAGAUAAGUCAUUUUGAGAAGAAAAGAACAAACCUUGUCCUAGAUUAUUCUUCAAAUAACGCAACACACGCAUUGCAGCUUCCAUAUAUGGUUUGCAUGGUGCAUGCAUAAAUUUACUCUGUACAUGAACUAAAUAAGUGAUAUCCGAGCGGGUAAUUGUCAAGUAAAUUAGGCGUCCAACAAUUCGCCUAUAUUGAGAAGGAUCUCUAAGCAAAUCACCUUCGUCCGAGAGCUUAACAUUCUGCUCCAUUGGAAAGUUCACACGUUUAGCUCCCAAAAAUCCACCAUCUUUUAGAAUUUCCGAAGUGUAUUUUCU